ACAACGCACACCACUAAGCAAAAAGCGACAAGAGUUUGAAAGUGUUCUUUUCCUGCUGCUACUUGACAUGUCUUACAUGAGGAGUAUUUACCUUUGUUUAGCCAGGAGCAGAGAAGCAAUCUGAAGGUACAGGAUGGCUUCACACUUGGCAGCGUGAAUUUCCAGCAGAGCAGGACAGUUCUACGCAUUUACUUGGCAAACAAAGAAGCAGGAGGCACUGUGUGGGGCUGAUUCCUCAAGAGGAAGCAAGCAAGAGGCCACAGGUGACAGAGAGUGCAUACAUGCCCUCACAUUCCUUCAACAUGUGCUGAAUGUGUGUCCCUGCCCUGUGCAAGGUAAUGGAUUUACAGCUGUGAGCAUGGCAACAUCAUUGCACUGGAUAAUGAUGGCUCUGACCCUCCGAAUCUUUCACAAUCUGUCUACAUAUUUCUCUUAAGAACUGUUUCCCUCCCAACUGAAAUCUACUAAACCGCUCUCCGAUUUCCUUAAAAUGAAGACGGGUGUGGCCAUAGCCUCCUCCUGCUGACUCUGCAAAACCCCAACCAGGACUGAGGAGGGCAAGCAAGAGCCUGUGUUUCCAACAGGGUCCAGAUACCACAGUUAUGAAUCUUCCAGCACCCUUGAUCUUCACCCUGAACACUGACAUUUCACACGAUGUUCUUUUAAAUGUUCAAAAACACGGCUGGGGUACUUGAAAGAAUGUCAUACCUCCCCCUAAGAAAGUGUGACAUCAGAUAUGCUUUUGGCACAAUGUUAAAUGAAAACAAAAAAGCAAAAUAAUUAAAUUCUAAACUGCGAUGUAGCAAAGACAGCAUUGGCUUGGAAAUGAAAUGCACCUUGUAAGAAGAUUCGUCUUCAGUAGAAUUUUUCCUUCUUUUUUUUUUUUUUUUGGUCGUUUGUCCUUUUAGGGCCACACCUGCGGCACAUAGAAGUUCCCAGGCUAGGGGUCCAGUUGGAGCUAUUGCUGCCAGCCACAGCAACACCAGGUCCAAGCCAUGUCGGCAACCCACACCAGAACUCACAGCAACACCGGAUCCUCAACCCACUGAGCGAGACCAGGGAUCGAACCCGCAACCUCAUGGUCCCUAGUCGGAUUCAUUUUCAUGCACCAUGGCAGGAACUCCCUCAGUAGAAUUUUAAUUCUUCAUUUCAGUUGUAAAUUGGCAUUAUAUUGACUAUAUUGAAAAUGAAGGUCAUCCCAAGUUUUGUGUCACAUAUGAAAUCUAACUCAAACUUGACUUUUUUCAGAACUGCAUAAAGUGGAUCAUAAUUUUACCAUCCCAGAAAGCAUGAAGUUAAUGCAUUUGACAGGCUUCUUGUGCCAUCUGCAGUAAGGGGUACAUAUGCGUAAUUCCUUAAUUUAAAAAAUUACAAGUGAUAAUAGUACCUUGCUUAUUGCAGCACGUAAGUCCUCAAAUUUCUCCUCACAGAUGAUCAAACCCAGCACCGUGUAUGAUUACUCAAUACCAGCCCACAUCAAUCCCCACCACUGAAAAUCAACUGCAAGUAUUGUCCCGUUUCACAAAUAAAAAUAUCUGCCAAGAAGAUUUAGACAGACAUUUCUCUAUGGAAGCCAUACAGAUGGCCAAAAAAAUACAUAAAAAGAUGCUCAGCAUCACUUAUUAUUAGAGACAUGCAAAUCACUACUAUGAGGUACCACAUUACACGAGCCAGAAUGGCCAUCAUCAAAAGGUCUACAAACAAUAAAUACUGGAGAGGGUGUGGAGAAUAGGGAACCCUCUUACACUGUUGGUGGGAAAUUGGCGAAACCACUAUGGAAAACUGUAUGGAGAUUGACAACCAUUAUGGAAAACUGUAUGGACAUUACUCAAAAAACUAAAAAUAGAAUUACCAUAUGAUCCAACAAGCCCACUACUGGGCAUAUAUCCAGAGAAAACCAAGACUUGAAAAGACACAUGUAAUUCAUUGUUCACUGCAGCACUAUUUGCAAUAGCCAAGACAUGGAAACAACCUAAAUGUCCAUCAACAGAGGAGUGGAUCAAGAAGACGUGGUAUAUAUACACAAUGGAAUAUUACUCAUCCAUUAAAAGGAACGAAAUACCAGCAUUUUUAGCAGCAUGGAUGGACCUAGAAAUUAUGCUAAGUGAAGUCAGUCAGACAAUGAGACACCAGCAUCAAAUGCUUUCACUGAAUGUGGAAUCUGAAAAAAGGACACAAUGAACUUCUUUGCAGAACAGAUACUGACUCACAGACUUUGAAAAACUUAUGGUUUCCAAAGGAGACAAUUUUCGGGGGGGGAGGAUACACUGGGGGUGUGGGAUGGAAAUCCUAUAAAAUUGGAUUGUGACGAUCAUUGUACAACUGUAAAUGUAAUAAGUUCAUUUAAUA
This 2349-nucleotide long non-coding RNA is filed under the name Sus scrofa (pig). RNAcentral's name for it is "lncRNA (ENSSSCG00050027511.1)". Lineage: Eukaryota; Metazoa; Chordata; Mammalia; Artiodactyla; Suidae. The record is from RNAcentral.